RNAcentral lists this ribosomal RNA (459 nucleotides) under uncultured bacterium. RNAcentral's name for it is "partial 16S ribosomal RNA". It matches the Rfam family "Bacterial small subunit ribosomal RNA", at positions 339 to 795 of the family's 1533-position model. The record is from RNAcentral.
CUACGGGGGGCUCCAGUGAGGAAUAUUGGUCAAUGGGCGCGAGCCUGAACCAGCCAUCCCGCGUGCAGGAUGACGGCCCUAUGGGUUGUAAACUGCUUUUCUAUGCCAAGAAACCUGAUUACGUGUAAUCAGUUGCCGGUAGCAUAGGAAUAAGCAUCGGCUAACUCCGUGCCAGCAGCCGCGGUAAUACGGAGGAUGCAAGCGUUAUCCGGAUUCAUUGGGUUUAAAGGGUGCGCAGGUGGGCUUGUAAGUCAGUGGUGAAAUGCUGCCGCUUAACGGUAGAACUGCCAUUGAUACUGCGAGUCUUGAGUAUGGUUGAGGUAGGCGGAAUGUGUUGUGUAGCGGUGAAAUGCAUAGAUAUGACACAGAACGCCAAUUGCGAAGGCAGCUUACUAAGCCAUUACUGACGCUGAGGCACGAAAGCGUGGGGAGCGAACAGGAUUAGAUACCCCAGUAGUC